This 254-nucleotide ribosomal RNA is filed under the name uncultured bacterium. RNAcentral describes it as "partial 16S ribosomal RNA". It matches the Rfam family "Bacterial small subunit ribosomal RNA", at positions 524 to 776 of the family's 1533-position model. The record is from RNAcentral.
UACGUAGGGUGCGAGCGUUGUCCGGAAUUAUUGGGCGUAAAGAGCUUGUAGGCGGUUUGUCGCGUCUGCUGUGAAAAUCCGGGGCUCAACCCCGGACUUGCAGUGGGUACGGGCAGACUAGAGUGUGGUAGGGGAGACUGGAAUUCCUGGUGUAGCGGUGAAAUGCGCAGAUAUCAGGAGGAACACCGGUGGCGAAGGCGGGUCUCUGGGCCGAAAUUUGACGCUGAGGAGCGAAAGCGUGGGGAGCAAACAGG